This 482-nucleotide ribosomal RNA is filed under the name uncultured bacterium. RNAcentral describes it as "partial 16S ribosomal RNA". It matches the Rfam family "Bacterial small subunit ribosomal RNA", at positions 30 to 507 of the family's 1533-position model. The record is from RNAcentral.
AUUGAACGCUGGCGGCAUGCCUUACACAUGCAAGUCGAACGGUAACAGGUCUUCGGAUGCUGACGAGUGGCGAACGGGUGCGUAAUACAUCGGAACGUGCCCAGACGUGGGGGAUAACGAGGCGAAAGCUUUGCUAAUACCGCAUACGAUCUAAGGAUGAAAGCAGGGGACCGCAAGGCCUUGUGCGUUUGGAGCGGCCGAUGGCAGAUUAGGUAGUUGGUGGGAUAAAAGCUUACCAAGCCGACGAUCUGUAGCUGGUCUGAGAGGACGACCAGCCACACUGGGACUGAGACAUGGCCCAGACUCCUACGGGAGGCAGCAGUGGGGAAUUUUGGACAAUGGGCGAAAGCCUGAUCCAGCAAUGCCGCGUGCAGGAUGAAGGCCUUCGGGUUGUAAACUGCUUUUGUACGGAACGAAAAGGAUCUGGCUAAUACCUGGGGCACAUGACGGUACCGUAAGAAUAAGCACCGGCUAACUACGUG